GGUAGUGUGGCCGAGUGGUCUAAGGCACUGGUUUUAGGCACCAGUCAUGGAAAUGGCAUGGGUUCGAAUCCCAUCACUGACA
Non-coding RNA from Xenia sp. Carnegie-2017, 82 nucleotides. Lineage: Eukaryota; Metazoa; Cnidaria; Anthozoa; Malacalcyonacea; Xeniidae. The record is from the annotation of a RefSeq genome assembly.